Poecilia latipinna (sailfin molly) is the source of this 2281-nucleotide long non-coding RNA. RefSeq lists it as uncharacterized. Lineage: Eukaryota; Metazoa; Chordata; Actinopteri; Cyprinodontiformes; Poeciliidae. The transcript is spliced from 3 exons. The record is from RefSeq and is a predicted model, not a curated record.
ACUCCGCCAUGACGGACGGCAAAAUAACCAAAGUGCUUCUUUUAAACUAGUCAUCUGUCAUCUAAUAUCGCUUUUAUUUAGUUGAUUUCACUUUAAAGAUGGUCACAGGAUGCUGCGCGGUCGGCUACAGAAAAAGACAAGGAUAGAAACCAAACUCGUCAUUUUAUUUUAUAACCUUUAAAGAGGAAAGAUGUGGCGGCGAUGGAUAGCAGCCGUUAAUCACAAUGACCGUCAGCCCUCGGUGUAACCGCGGAUUUGCAGUGAACAGUUUUUAUAAGGUCGCAAAACGCUGCAAAGACGAGAAAGAUCAAGUCUUCUGUCAGUCACAAAGGUUUUUUAACAACAAAUCAACAGCGAUGACCAACUUUGAGGCUGUUCUGAUUGGCUGGCCCUGGGGAAAGGAGAUAUCAUGUUUAGCCCCGAACCAACAUGCAUCCCUCAUCCACCAUCCGCUGCCGCCACGAUUGUGAGGAAGAGGAAAAAAAGCACGAGCGAGUGUCAGAGGGAGGUCUGUGCGUUCAGGCGAUCGCACACUCUGCUCUUUCUACUAAAGUGCUUCUCGUCUCCUCAGCGGAGGUUGAUGAGGUAUGACAUCACAGCACUUUGUUUUAUCUUUAAAAGAUGAGCAGGGAGCCCUCCACUUCCCCUUAAUGAGGCCGAGGUGCCCACAGAAUAUAUGGAGAGUGUGUACGCGCGUGGACACGCUUUCCAUCUCGUUUUCUUUGCAUGCCAGCAACGUGCGUUUUCGGCUCACGCUUGCUAACACCCGUUUUACCCAUAACCCCUGGCGUUUCCUGUCCUGAAGCCAUGUGUCAGACCUCAUUGGCUACCGCAUCAAUAACACGGCAUCCGCUCGGCUCCAAACGCCGCAUCCUAACGGCCAGACGCGCCGCAGAUUGGACUGAUCGUCUUUUUCUGUUCGUUUUCUCCAGCGGCGGUGAUUGAGGUUGAUUUUUGGUUUUGUUUAUACAUCUGCCUCAAGGUGCUGAUCCGCAGAGCCGGACGGCUUCUCGUACAGGAGUUACUGUCCAAUUACUAAUUGCACUGUUUGAGUUACAGGAUUUGUUUGUUAACAUAUUUCUGUAACAAGUGUUUUACCAGAAAGGGGAACAAAUGUGUUUCAAGGGUUAACAAUGCACUGUAAAAACAGUGAAAUAUUGGCAGCUCCACAGAAUUUUAUGGCAUAAACACAGAUUUUACUGAAUCACUGUGGUAAAAUCUACAUCUAUGCAGUAAAAUUUGGUUUAAAUACCAAACAGCCUGAUACAUUUGGUAUAAAUACUGUAAAAUUCUGGCCUCCACAGAAUUCUAUGGUAUAAAUAUGGAUUUACAUUUUUAACAAUUUUAUUGUUGUUUUGGAUUUUACCUUAUCAAUAUGGUAAAAUCUGGAUUUAUAAAGUAGAAUUUGGUAUAAAUAGCAAAUAAUUUAUACCAAAUACAUUUGAUAUUUAUACCAUAAAAUUCUGGCAUCCACAGAAUUUAUAUGGUAAAAUCCAUCUUUUUUUUUUUCUUUUUUUUUUACAGUGUAGGACUAAAAUACAUAAGUGGGGAAAAAACUAAACCAAGUUGGACUAGAGACAAAACAAACAUUAUCUAUAUAAAACAGGAACAUUUCACAAUAAAUCUAGAAUUUUAGAAAACAUCAUCAAACCUCUUUUGAAAUGCAUUUUUAUACAGAAUAAUUUCCUUUAAUACCUUUUUUAUACUCUAAAAUAUCACUUUAUCUUAUAUUAUGCAAUGUAUUUUAUUGUUGUUUUUAUAUUUUUGCUUUUAUCGUGUUCCAUUAAUUAUUGUUUUCAUAAUUAAAUGUGGCAAAAAAGCCAAGCGAAAGAGGUGUUGCUGUUAGCUAGCAGUGAUGUCUAGGUGCUAAUCCUCAUGGGAAGCUGCUGGACGCUGGUUUCCCUGACGUGUGCGCCAUGUUGCCAGACGAGCUCGUUGCCGGGCGAUUAACCGGCGUUAGCCGUCAUUAGCCUCUGCGCACCAACGCAGCAGCAGACUGCAAUUAACCCGCUAAUCCGGCUAAUCCACUAAUGGAGCUAAUCUGAUAGACUACAGAGAGGUUUUUCAAUUGGCUUUCUCUGGGAGCACACACACACACACACACACACACACAGUCACGCCUGCGUGCACAUAGAAGCCCUGGAUUCAUGUUUCCAGCUCCUGCACACAUUUACACACAGCUCCUUAAACAGUCACAGUCGAUCUCGGUUAAACCCACUGCAUCCGUGACCAGAGUUGGGGAGUAACUAGUUACAUUUACUCAAUUAUAUUUACUUGAGUA